Long non-coding RNA from Gasterosteus aculeatus aculeatus (three-spined stickleback), 707 nucleotides. The record is from Ensembl. Lineage: Eukaryota; Metazoa; Chordata; Actinopteri; Perciformes; Gasterosteidae.
AGAGAAGAACGGCCGGGUCACACCAAAACCCAUUUAACUUGCCUAGGUCAUCUUGCAAUACGUUGUCUUUCAGUCCUGAUGCACUCUCUGAGCUCUUAGCCGGUAUGGUCCUCUAUACUUCAAAGCUUCAGGAAAACGUAGAUGGGCAGGAAGUCACCAGGGACGUUGACUUGUAGCAGGGGAGAAUGUAGCCGGGUGAAGUGGGGGCAGGGAGGUUUUUGGACUGCUAGAUGGUCCGCACAGAGGGUGAGGGCGUACUGCCCCUUUAAGUACAUGGGCAUGAGUUCACGUGGGAUUUGGAGCUGCAGAGCGGGACCUAGUGGCUACUAACACGACACAGUGUUAGCGGUUAGCAUCGGAACAGCGUUAGGGAAAUACCUGUUCAGCGGGUCAGCAGGGGAGUAACAAGCUGCUGUGGGUUGAGGUUGCACGUGCAUGGAGCCGUGCGCGCCGGCGCUUGAGAAGGGGUCACUACUGUUGUUUUUUUUUGUAUGUAACUGUUAGCUUCACGUAAUUUCUAGCUUAAGGUAAUCGUUAGCUCUAUUCCAUUACAUCCUAUUAGUUAGUGAAGCGAAGCAAUUGGUUAUUUGUACACUGUUCCAAGUGCCUCCUUAAUUUGACACAUUAAGGCUGUGCUCCAGGAGUGCAGUCGGGGGAAAUAAAGAACCCACAUUAAAGAAAAAUAAAUUUAUCUUAGUGUCCUGUCA